CCCUUAGAUGUCCGGGGCUGCACGCGCGCUACACUGAAGGAAUCAGCGUGCUAGAAAACCUUGUUUGACAUGGCUAGGUAACCCGUUGAAAAUCUUUCGUGAUUGGGAUCGGGACUUGCAAAUGUGUCCCUUGAACGAGGAAUUCCCAGUAAGUGCGGGUCAUAAGCUCGCGCUGAUUACGUCCCUGCCCUUUGUACACACCGCCCGUCGCUGCCCGGAACUGAGCCGUUUCGAGAAGGCUGGGGACUGCGAACUUUGGGCUGGAAAACAGCUUUUUGUUUGUGGAAACCACUUUAAUCGCAGCGGCUUGAACCGGGCAAAAGUCGUAACA
RNAcentral lists this ribosomal RNA (331 nucleotides) under uncultured eukaryote. Its description in RNAcentral is "partial 18S ribosomal RNA". It matches the Rfam family "Eukaryotic small subunit ribosomal RNA", at positions 1470 to 1796 of the family's 1831-position model. The record is from RNAcentral.